This is a long non-coding RNA of Lineus longissimus, 406 nucleotides long. RefSeq lists it as uncharacterized. The transcript is spliced from 3 exons. The record is from RefSeq and is a predicted model, not a curated record. Lineage: Eukaryota; Metazoa; Nemertea; Pilidiophora; Heteronemertea; Lineidae.
UUUCGAGAAAACUUGACGUGUUUUAUUCUGAUGAUGAAGUACAUUUUUCUCUUUUUGGCCGUGCUGGCUUACAUCGCUGCCGCCGAAAAAGAUAUCCCGAGGCCUAUUCAUGUCUGUCCACUGAGCAUGAUCCACUGUGGCAGCGGGAUUCACCCACUCAAGAUUACAAGAGCCUAUGGUUGUCCAGUUUAUAGAUGUCCGCCGAGACUGCCAACGCCAUGCCCACUAAACAAGAUGAGACCUUGCAGAGUUGGGGUAGUUCCAAUCUGGAAAGGAGCUGCCGGGUCAAAGGUCAGGUAGGCCGUAUCAGGGAAUGCAAAGUUGAAGGGCAGAUUCACCAAGAAAACCAACACGAAACAGACUUUAUCAGACAUUCUAUACCUUUCCGAUACAUGCUGUAUUUCAA